RNAcentral lists this ribosomal RNA (366 nucleotides) under uncultured bacterium. RNAcentral describes it as "bacterial SSU rRNA". It matches the Rfam family "Bacterial small subunit ribosomal RNA", at positions 28 to 394 of the family's 1533-position model. The record is from RNAcentral.
GACGAACGCUGGCGGCGUGCUUAACACAUGCAAGUCGAGCGGUAAGGCCCUUUCGGGGGUACACGAGCGGCGAACGGGUGAGUAACACGUGGGUGACCUGCCCUCAGCUCUGGGAUAAGCCUGGGAAACCGGGUCUAAUACUGGAUAUGACUCCAUGACGCAUGUUGUGGGGUGGAAAGCCUUGUGCGGCUGAGGAUGGGCCCGCGGCCUAUCAGCUUGUUGGUGGGGGUGANGGCCUACCAAGGCGACGACGGGUAGCCGGCCUGAGAGGGCGACCGGCCACACUGGGACUGAGACACGGCCCAGACUCCUACGGGAGGCAGCAGUGGGGAAUCUUGCGCAAUGGGCGAAAGCCUGACGCAGCGA